RNAcentral lists this ribosomal RNA (87 nucleotides) under Otolemur garnettii (small-eared galago). The record is from RNAcentral. Lineage: Eukaryota; Metazoa; Chordata; Mammalia; Primates; Galagidae.
AUCUAUAGCCAUUCCACCCUGAACACACCUGAUCUUGUCUGACCUUGGAAGCAAGGCAGGGUCAGGUACUAGAGUGGGAUUUUGAUU